UAAGGAAUAUUGCUCAAUGGGAGAAAUCCUGAAGCAGCAACGCCGCGUGGAGGAUGAAGGGUCUAUGACUUGUAAACUCCUGUAAAGAAGGAAAAAAUUCCCAUUUGAUGGGAGAUGAUGGUACUUCUGGAGUAAGCCCCGGCUAACUACGUGCCAGCAGCCGCGGUAAUACGUAGGGGGCAAGCGUUGUCCGGAUUUACUGGGUGUAAAGGGUGCUCAGGCGGAUUUGAAAGUCAGAGGUGAAAUCUUACAGCUUAACUGUGAAACUGCCUUUGAUACUGCAAGCCUAGAGUAUGGAAGAGAGUGAUGGAAUAUCUGGUGUAGCAGUGAAAUGCGUAGAUAUCAGAUAGAACACCAAUGGCGAAGGCAGUCACUUGGUCCAUUACUGACGCUAAAGCACGAAAGCGUGGGUAGCAAAC
Molecule: ribosomal RNA, 419 nt
Filed under: uncultured bacterium
Lineage: Bacteria
Description: bacterial SSU rRNA
Rfam family: Bacterial small subunit ribosomal RNA
Source: RNAcentral